This 509-nucleotide ribosomal RNA is filed under the name uncultured bacterium. RNAcentral's name for it is "bacterial SSU rRNA". It matches the Rfam family "Bacterial small subunit ribosomal RNA", at positions 8 to 507 of the family's 1533-position model. The record is from RNAcentral.
AGAGUUUGAUCCUGGCUCAGAGUGAACGCUGGCGGCAGGCCUAAUACAUGCAAGUCGAACGGCAGCACGGCAGAGCUUGCUCUGUGGGUGGCGAGUGGCGGACGGGUGAGGAAUACAUGGGAAUCUGCCCAGUCGUGGGGGAUAACGUAGGGAAACUUACGCUAAUACCGCAUGCGCCCUUCGGGGGAAAGCCGGGGACCUUCGGGCCUGGCGCGAUUGGAUGAGCCCAUGUCGGAUUAGCUAGUUGGCGGGGUAAUGGCCCACAAGGCGACGAUCCGUAGCUGGUCUGAGAGGAUGAUCAGCCACACUGGAACUGAGACACGGUCCAGACUCCUACGGGAGGCAGCAGUAGGGAAUAUUGGACAAUGGGCGCAAGCCUGAUCCAGCCAUGCCGCGUGAGUGAAGAAGGCCCUCGGGUUGUAAAGCUCUUUUGUCCGGAAAGAAAAGCGCCGGGUUAAUACCCUGGUGUCCUGACGGUACCGGAAGAAUAAGCACCGGCUAACUUCGUG